GCCCAGACUCCUACGGGAGGCAGCAGUGAGGAAUAUUGGUCAAUGGCCGAGAGGCUGAACCAGCCAAGUCGCGUGAGGGAAGACGGCCCUACGGGUUGUAAACCUCUUUUGUCGGGGAGCAAAAGCCGGACGUGUCCGGCUGUGAGAGUACCCGAAGAAAAAGCAUCGGCUAACUCCGUGCCAGCAGCCGCGGUAAUACGGAGGAUGCGAGCGUUAUCCGGAUUUAUUGGGUUUAAAGGGUGCGCAGGCGGCGUGUCAAGCAAGCGGUAAAAUAGCGGGGCUCAACCCCGUCGAGCCGUUUGAACUGGCGCGCUUGAGUUCAGGCGAGGUAGGCGGAAUUCGUGGUGUAGCGGUGAAAUGCAUAGAUAUCACGAAGAACUCCGAUUGCGAAGGCAGCUUACCAGUCUGCGACUGACGCUCAGGCACGAAAGUGUGGGGAUCGAACAGGAUUAGAUACCCCCGUACCG
RNAcentral lists this ribosomal RNA (467 nucleotides) under uncultured bacterium. RNAcentral's name for it is "bacterial SSU rRNA". It matches the Rfam family "Bacterial small subunit ribosomal RNA", at positions 329 to 797 of the family's 1533-position model. The record is from RNAcentral.